AGAGUUUGAUCCUGGCUCAGAACAAACGCUGGCGGCGUGUCUUAAGCAUGCAAGUUGAGCGGCAAGGGGGAGCGAUCCCCCCUAGAGCGGCGGACUGGUGAGUAACACGUGGAUGAUCUACCCGAGGCAUGGGGAUAGUCACUAGAAAUAGUGGGUAAUACCGAAUACGGUGCGCAUCGUGAGGGUGCGCAAGAAAGGUGCUACGGCACCGGCCUAGGAUGAGUCUGCGUCCCAUUAGCUGGUUGGUGAGGUAAGAGCCCACCAAGGCGAUGAUGGGUAGCCGGCCUGAGAGGGUGUACGGCCACACUGGGACUGAGAUACGGCCCAGACUCCUACGGGAGGCAGCAGCUAAGAAUAUUCCGCAAUGGACGAAAGUCUGACGGAGCGACGCCGCGUGGAUGAAGAAGGCCGAAAGGUUGUAAAGUUCUUUUGUUGGGGAAGAAUAACCAUGGGAGGGAAUGCCCGUGGGAUGACAUGAACCGACGAAUAAGCCCCGGCUAACUACGUGCCAGCAGCCGCGGUAACACGUAGGGGGCGAGCGUUGUUCGGAAUUACUGGGCGUAAAGGGCAUGUAGGCGGUCUUGUAAGCUUGGCGUGAAAGACCACGGCUCAACCGUGGGAUUGCGUUGAGAACUGCGAGGCUUGAGUGACGGAGAGGGAGCUAGAAUUCCUGGUGUAGGGGUGGAAUCUGUAGAGAUCAGGAAGAAUACCAAUGGCGAAGGCAAGCUCCUGGCCGAUGACUGACGCUGAGGUGCGAAAGUGUGGGGAUCAAACAGGAUUAGAUACCCUGAUAGUCCACACUGUAAACGAUGUGCACUAGGUGCUGGUACGGAUGUAUCAGUGCCGUAGCUAACGUGAUAAGUGCACCGCCUGGGGAGUAUGCUCGCAAGGGUGAAACUCAAAGGAAUUGACGG
Molecule: ribosomal RNA, 914 nt
Filed under: bacterium enrichment culture clone B312154
Lineage: Bacteria
Description: bacterial SSU rRNA
Rfam family: Bacterial small subunit ribosomal RNA
Source: RNAcentral